Molecule: long non-coding RNA, 246 nt
Organism: Arabidopsis thaliana (thale cress)
Lineage: Eukaryota; Viridiplantae; Streptophyta; Magnoliopsida; Brassicales; Brassicaceae
Product: other RNA
Exons: 1
Source: RefSeq
GUCUCCCAUAGAAGCACAUUUCUGGAGAUGUAGCGAUUCCACAAAGGUAGAUUAGUCCAAAGAAAGAAUGAGUCCUUAACAACAUCGACUCAUACUUAUGUGUGUUGUAUACAUUUUCGUGGGCAGGUUUAGUACGAAUGGCUGUGUCUUUGCCUACACUCUCACCAAUUCACAACACUAACGGAAGUUCAUGCUGGAUGGGCCUUUAGGAUUCUUAUAGAACACAGAGAAGAGAAGAAGAUUAGG